RNAcentral lists this ribosomal RNA (497 nucleotides) under uncultured bacterium. RNAcentral describes it as "partial 16S ribosomal RNA". It matches the Rfam family "Bacterial small subunit ribosomal RNA", at positions 28 to 507 of the family's 1533-position model. The record is from RNAcentral.
GAUGAACGCUGGCGGCGUGCCUAAUACAUGCAAGUCGAGCGAACGGACGAGAAGCUUGCUUCUCUGAUGUUAGCGGCGGACGGGUGAGUAACACGUGGAUAACCUACCUAUAAGACUGGGAUAACUUCGGGAAACCGGAUCUAAUACCGGAUGAUUUUUUGAACCGCGUUGGUCAAAAGUUAAAGUCGGUCUUUCUGUCAGUUAUAGAUUGAUCCGCGCUGCAUUAGCUAGUUGGUAAGGUAACGGCUUAACAAGGCAACGAUGCAUAGCCGACCUGAGAGGGUGAUCGGCCACACGGGAAGGGAGACACGGCCCAGACUCCUGCGGGAGGCAGCAGUAGGGAAUCUUACGCAAUGGGGGAGAGGCUGACAGAGGACCGCGGGGUGAGUGAUGAAGGUGUUCGGCUCGUAAAGCUAUGAUAUUCGUGGAGAACAUAUGUGUAAGUAACUGUGAACAUAUUGACGGUACCUGGUCAGAAAGCCACGGCUAACUACGUG